RNAcentral lists this ribosomal RNA (418 nucleotides) under uncultured eukaryote. RNAcentral's name for it is "SSU rRNA". It matches the Rfam family "Eukaryotic small subunit ribosomal RNA", at positions 592 to 1013 of the family's 1831-position model. The record is from RNAcentral.
CAAUAGCGUAUAUUAAAGUUGUUGCGGUUAAAAAAGCUCGUAGUUGGAUUUCUGUCGAAGACAUCCGGUCCGCACUUUGUGCGUGUAUCUGGUUUGGCUUUGGCAUCCUCGUGGGGAACGUCACUGCGCUUGAUUGCGUGGUACGGUAUUCACGACUUUUACUUUGAGGAAAUUAGAGUGUUCACGGCAGGCAAGCGCCUUGAAUAUAUUAGCAUGGAAUAAUAAUAUAGGACUUUGGUUCUAUUUUGUUGGUUUCUAGGACUAAAGUAAUGAUUAAUAGGGAUAAUUGGGGGCAUUUGUAUUAACGCGUCAGAGGUGGAAUUCUUGGAUUGCGUUACGACAAACUACUGCGAAAGCAUUUGCCAAGGAUGUUUUCAUUGAUCAAGAACGAAAGUAUGGGGAUCGAAGAUGAUUAGAU